Cricetulus griseus (Chinese hamster) is the source of this 117-nucleotide non-coding RNA. Lineage: Eukaryota; Metazoa; Chordata; Mammalia; Rodentia; Cricetidae. The record is from Rfam.
ACCCAAGGCCAUACCACCCUGAACACACCUGAUCUCUUCUGAUCUCAGAAGCUAAGCAGGGUUGUGCUUGGUUAGUAUUUGGUUGGGUGAUUUAUUUCUUUCAAGUUGUUUAUAAUU